UGCUAGUCUUCCACGCCUCAGGAGACAGUGUUGUCCAACAGCAGAAGCUUCAGCCGGAACACAGUGUUCAUCUUCAUGAUGACUGCGUCUCGUCCACAUUCUCAUUCAGUGUCUUUGAUCAUGACAAGAAUGGAUCAUUAAGCUUAACUGCUGUGACAACCUUUAGAAGAAGACGUUGAGAAUCCUUUCAAAUCCAGUACUGCCAGGAACAAUCUUUCAUCGGAAAAAGCCCAGGAAGCUACAGACCAAUGCAGCACAAAAUGGAGCUGACCUCAGCGUGCACCACUCUGGAGACAGGCCAUGCUCUGACUGAAAUGUGAAGGAAGCCCCUUCCCAUUCCUGUUUCCUUUGUCAUCUAAGCCUUUUGCCGAUAGUCUCUGUCUCCACAGGCUUAAGAUUUACAGAACGGCUGGGUGAGCUUUUGGGGAAAGCAGUGCUGAACUAAGGGCAGUCAUGCAACAGAGCUACAAUGGUGGUACCACAUACAGCUAACCCCUCAAGAAAGGACCCUGUGUCUGGAAAGACUGGGAAAGGCAGUGCCUUGAGCAAAUAUGGGAGAGAACCUGGGUUUCUUUUCCUGUGUGUGUGUGUGUGUGUGUGUGUCCCUUCUCUCAGAGCUUCCCAAGGGUGAUACCCUAGCAGAAUCAGCCAGGGUGUCAAAUGGCAUGAUAAGCUAAUACCCAGUAAAAACUUUGCUUUAUGGUCAAACAUUUUUUUUAUGGUUCUUACGGUCCAAAGAGAAUUGGAAUAAAUCACCGGGUAAAUUUUCUCUUUUUUCACUCUCUUCUUAGCACCAAAAGUAGUCCUGAUUACAGGAACUAUGUAGCAGCACA
Long non-coding RNA from Leopardus geoffroyi (Geoffroy's cat), 833 nucleotides. RefSeq lists it as uncharacterized. NCBI's taxonomy places the organism in Eukaryota, Metazoa, Chordata, Mammalia, Carnivora, Felidae. The record is from RefSeq and is a predicted model, not a curated record. The transcript is spliced from 4 exons.